Molecule: long non-coding RNA, 346 nt
Filed under: Panax ginseng (ginseng)
Lineage: Eukaryota; Viridiplantae; Streptophyta; Magnoliopsida; Apiales; Araliaceae
Description: long non-coding RNA (PGIN_LNC006493)
Source: RNAcentral
AUCGAUCAAGCCAAACAAGCCUUGAACUUUGAAUAUGAUAGAAGAAAUUACAAUAGACUUCUUAUUUUCCAGCCACAAAGAAUUAUAGACAGUACAAUGAAUAGCUGGAAAUAAACAAGAAAGCUCUCAAUAGGAUUCUUCUCUGUAUAGCAACGUGAAUUAGCUUCUUGUAUCCUUGUCCUGCUUAGCCGUGAGAUAAGACUAUAUAUAAAGAGAGACCCAAUGGCUAUAAAAUAAUUGUUAGCAAUAAAUCAGAUGAUUUAAAUCCCAUAGCAAGAAAUCAGAUGAUUUAAAUCCCAUAAUAUUAGCUACAAUAUGGACCAACGGUUAUGAACAAAAGAUAGAA